AAUUAAAGAAUUAUUUAUUAGAUUAGUUUAUUUAAUUGUUAAUAAAAAUAAUUUUAAUAAUUAUUGAUUUGAGUAUAUUUUAUAGAAAAGAUUUAUUUAAUUAUAGUUUAUUAGUAUAGUAAUAGAAUUGUGAAAUAAAAGAUUUUUAUAAAGAAGUAGGAUUUAUUUUUUGUACCUUGUGUAUCAGGGUUUAUUAAAAAUUUAUUAUUAAAAUAUAAUUUUCCCGAGUUUAAGAGAGAGAAUAAAUAAUUUUUUUUAUUGUAAAAUAAAUAUUUAUAAUUAUUUAUUAGAAAUGAAAUGUUAUUCGUUCUUAAAUAUAUCUGGUUUAUUUAGAAAUGAAUUUAAUUCAGUUUAUUAAAUUUUAUUAAUUUAUUUUUUUAAAUUAAUAAAUUAUAUUAGUAAUAAUUAAAGGGAUAAUCUUUUAAUUAAAUUUUUAAAAUUAAUUUUAAAUUAAAAAUUUAUAGGUUUAGAAAUAUCCAUUAAUAAUAGUUUGUUAUAAUUAAUUUUUUUUUAUAUAAAGAUUUGAUAUAUUAAUUUAAAUAUUUAUGAAUAAUUUAUAUAAAAUUAUUGAAUAUAUGUUAUAAUGAUAGAAUUAGUAUAUAUUAAUAUAAAAAUAGAUUAUAAAUUUAGAUUAUUUAAAGGAAUUAGGCAAAUAAUUUAUUCGCCUGUUUAACAAAAACAUGUCCUUUAGAAUUUUAAUUUAAGGUCUAACCUGCCCACUGAUAUAUUUAAAGGCCGCAGUAAUUUGACUGUGCAAAGGUAGCAUAAUCAUUAGUUUUUUAAUUAAAAGCUUGUAUGAAUGGUUGGACGAAAUAAAAUCUGUCUCUAAAUAAAAAUUAGAAUUUAAUUUUUAAGUUAAAAAGCUUAAAUAUUUAUAAAAGACGAGAAGACCCUAUAGAUCUUUAUAUAAGAAUCUAUAUUUUUAUUUUAGAUGUUUUUAUUAACUAUAUUUUUUUAUAUUUUAUUGGGGUAAUAGGGAGAUUAUAUAAAUUCUUUUUAAAGUUUAACAAUAAUAAUUGAUUAAUUGAUCCAUUUAUAGUGAUUAUAAGAUUAAGUUACCUUAGGGAUAACAGCGUAAUUUUUUUAAAGAGUUCAUAUCGAUAAAAAAGUUUGCGACCUCGAUGUUGGAUUAAAAAUAAUUUUGGGUGUAGAAUUUCAAAAUUUUGGUCUGUUCGACCAUUAAAUUUUUACAUGAUCUGAGUUCAGACCGGUGUAAGCCAGGUCGGUUUCUAUCUUUAUAUAGAUAUUAUAUUUUAGUACGAAAGGACCAAGUAUAAGAUAUAUGGAUAUUUUAUUUUUGAAUUAUAUU
Molecule: ribosomal RNA, 1309 nt
Filed under: Deronectes angusi
Lineage: Eukaryota; Metazoa; Arthropoda; Insecta; Coleoptera; Dytiscidae
Description: 16S ribosomal RNA
Rfam family: Archaeal large subunit ribosomal RNA (bases 1066-1224)
Source: RNAcentral